GCCUUUGUUGCAGUGAAGAGGUUCAAGACCUUUCUACCCAAUAACUAGUUAGAUAGCUCCAUCCACUUGAUGAAUAGGCACUGGAGCAAACUCUUCUUCAGUCACCUCUUCAGCUUGAAUCUUCACUCCUUCUGGUAGGAGUUCUAUACGAAAUGACAUGAUCAUGGAUGUUUAUGCUUAUGCAACUUGAAAAGAAAAUACUAAGAAGCAUCGCAAGACUUACACCUCUCUAAUGGUGCACACAAAAACUAACAAAACCUUAAGAGAGCUAAAUACUCUAAUAUCACAACUCAAUCAUACUAGGGCAGCCAGCAAGGAUGAGGUGAUAUUCUUCAGUUACUCCAAUAUAGACACUAGUUUACUAAAUCAGCCACCUUCCACUAAAUUUGUUUUCAGUUUUCUGAAACAACACACCACUAAGCCUGAUAGAGGGUUUUGGCACUUACUUUUCUCUAAAUUCUCUAUAGUAGCAAGCCAACUCUUCGCAUCAAAUUUGUUGUGCAUGAUAUGGUCUCCCAUCUUGCUGUGGAAUCCCUAACCCAAUUCUACCUGGAGUAAUUUCCAUAGAGCUACAAAGGUGGUUAAAAACUCACUGAACCAUGAUAACAGUCGACUGAAUCAGUCUGCAUUCCAUAUGCCUGGCAGGGGUAAUUAGGACACCAAUUACUGCCAACCCUGUGUAACACCCAGUUCAUUUCUCUUUAGAAAACUUAUUCACCUUACUAUGGUAUCCAACCUUUAUACAUGGAGUAGGACUCAUAACUCCAGGAAUUAAAUUCUAAAGAGCUUCAAAAUUGGUUGAACAACACCCUGAAACAGAUUUUUAGUGAACUGAUACAGCCCACCCCUAGUCUGACAGGGAAGGUUUGGAGGUAUUUUACUCCCAAAUUUCUGUAGAGCCAUGUCUAUCUUACUUUAGUAAACUUAUUUACUUCACUUUGCUCUGCACUUUUGCUAAAUAAUUCUUAGUCCAAAACCACUAGGAUGGGUCACAAUAGAGCCUAAACUUGGUACCAUUCAUUGAUGUUCAGAUUUUCAGCUCUGAAUAAACUAAGUUAAUAGCAAUCUGAUAAUCCAAACAUAGGAAUUCAGAUUCUUAUCUUUGAGCAAAUUUUACACCUAGUUCCCAAUAACAGACAGUGGUAGAGUUCAAUCAAAUGUCGUGGGGAACAGUAGUGACAUACCUAAACUUUGGUGCUCACAAGGAAUCGACCGGAGAAAGCGUGAGUUGUUCGGUCAACACAGAGGCUGCUCACGGCUCCGGUCUGCGGUGGAACAACUCUGUUCUGAGUCGCACAAGACUCUAGAAUUAGGAAACCCAGUUCGGUGAGCUUCACUAAUCUAGGGAGAUUACCGAACAAGGUUCACCUGGGCAACAAACUUCUUGAGAUACUCUGACCACGGGGAGGUGGAAGGAUGGUUGUUGUGGCACCAGAGUACCAGACAAUGGAAUGGCACUUGAUGAACUGAACAAAGCCGACGCAGAGGCUAAGGAGAUGAACUCAGGCUUGCACACACCACCACAGAGAUGCC
This 1533-nucleotide long non-coding RNA is filed under the name Zea mays. RNAcentral describes it as "long non-coding RNA (ZMAY_LNC004240)". The record is from RNAcentral. Lineage: Eukaryota; Viridiplantae; Streptophyta; Magnoliopsida; Poales; Poaceae.